AGUGAACGCUGGCGGUAGGCCUAACACAUGCAAGUCGAACGGCAGCACAGUAAGAGCUUGCUCUUACGGGUGGCGAGUGGCGGACGGGUGAGGAAUACAUCGGAAUCUACUUUUUCGUGGGGGAUAACGUAGGGAAACUUACGCUAAUACCGCAUACGACCUACGGGUGAAAGCAGGGGAUCUUCGGACCUUGCGCGAUUGAAUGAGCCGAUGUCGGAUUAGCUAGUUGGCGGGGUAAAGGCCCACCAAGGACGAUCCGUAGCUGGUCUGAGAGGAUGAUCAGCCACACUGGAACUGAGACACGGUCCAGACUCCUACGGGAGGCAGCAGUGGGGAAUAUUGGACAAUGGGCGCAAGCCUGAUCCAGCCAUACCGCGUGGGUGAAGAAGGCCUUCGGGUUGUAAAGCCCUUUUGUUGGGAAAGAAAAGCAGCAGGUUAAUACCCCGCUGUUCUGACGGUACCCAAAGAAUAAGCACCGGCUAACUUCGUG
This 490-nucleotide ribosomal RNA is filed under the name uncultured bacterium. RNAcentral's name for it is "partial 16S ribosomal RNA". It matches the Rfam family "Bacterial small subunit ribosomal RNA", at positions 29 to 507 of the family's 1533-position model. The record is from RNAcentral.